This 253-nucleotide ribosomal RNA is filed under the name uncultured bacterium. RNAcentral's name for it is "partial 16S ribosomal RNA". It matches the Rfam family "Bacterial small subunit ribosomal RNA", at positions 524 to 776 of the family's 1533-position model. The record is from RNAcentral.
UACGUAGGGGGCAAGCGUUGUCCGGAUUUAUUGGGCGUAAAGAGCGUGUAGGCGGCCACACAGGUCUGCUGUGAAAACUCGAGGCUCAACCUCGAGCUGUCGGUGGAAACCGUGUGGCUAGAGUCCGGAAGAGGAGAGUGGAAUUCCCGGUGUAGAGGUGAAAUUCGUAGAUAUCGGGAGGAACACCAGUGGCGAAGGCGGCGAUCUGGGAAGAUACUGACGCUGAGGUGCGAAAGCGUGGGGAGCAAACAGG